AGAUUGAACGCUGGCGGCAGGCCUAACACAUGCAAGUCGAGCGGCAGCACGGGUACUUGUACCUGGUGGCGAGCGGCGGACGGGUGAGUAAUGCCUAGGAAUCUGCCUGGUAGUGGGGGAUAACGCUCGGAAACGGACGCUAAUACCGCAUACGUCCUACGGGAGAAAGCAGGGGACCUUCGGGCCUUGCGCUAUCAGAUGAGCCUAGGUCGGAUUAGCUAGUUGGUGAGGUAAUGGCUCACCAAGGCGACGAUCCGUAACUGGUCUGAGAGGAUGAUCAGUCACACUGGAACUGAGACACGGUCCAGACUCCGUAGGGAGCAGCAGGUGGGGAAUAGUUGGACAAUGGGACGAAAGCCUG
RNAcentral lists this ribosomal RNA (361 nucleotides) under uncultured soil bacterium. RNAcentral describes it as "bacterial SSU rRNA". It matches the Rfam family "Bacterial small subunit ribosomal RNA", at positions 26 to 385 of the family's 1533-position model. The record is from RNAcentral.